UUGGAGGUGGAGGUAGGUGGGCUGAGCGGUUGCGGGGGGACAACCCUAGUGGGGACGGUCCCUGUGGGCACUGCCGGGACCUGGUGUCCAGAGCACGGCUGUCGGCGAGGAAUAGCUCGGAGGUUCAGCCUCAGUUUCCUGCUCUUUCCUAUUAACGGAAAGCCCCUCCGGCAGCCCGUUCUGCUUCCCGUCCAGAUGCCGUUUACAGGCGUCAGCUCCUGCCUGCAAAGCAGGACGAAGCAGCGGCGUCUGAGAAACUCUCAGCCGUAGAAAUCCCCGAGCGGGCAUGCAAACCUGACCCGGCGGCACCAGUCGGGCUGCAGAAACGCUCCGGCGCAGAGAGGCUAAAACCACAGCCAUCGCACCUAGCUGGGGCCACCAGCACCCGUGUUUGGUGUCCACCUGCUCUCCAGGCCCCUCCACUGCUGGCAAAGGCGCAGCUUUGCGAGGAGUUAGCCCAAAAGGCCAGUACCUACACGGCAGUGAAGAACAACCCCUGCUCUUCACUGCCUGCCUUUGACUUCUUACAGAUUUAGUUCUGCCAGUGCCAACAGCUAUGUUUGCUUUUGUGCCGGCCAGUGCAGGCAGAGAUAUUAGUAAGCAGAGGUCUAACUACCUGGCUUGCAGGCACUAUCAGCAAGUUGGACACCUAACGACUGCUAAUAUUUCAUUGCAGGCACAAAAAUGAAGCAGGGCAAUUAUUUGCAAGCGCUAAAUUGCACCCUCAAAAUCAAAGACCGUGUCAAGACUUGCCUGGGAAAAAACCCAUCAGGCUCCAAGAGGUGCAGCGCAACAUACAUCAAGCAGACAGAGCCCUGAGUACCGGCUCUGCACGCGCUCGCAGCAGGAGCCGUGCACGACCGACCGAAGGCUGAGUCGAGCCGUACUGGAAACGGCAGGCAAGUACCACCUAUAGGUCAACCAAACGUAGGGACGACUGAUGGAGGCCCGAGAGCAGGUUCCCCCGGGCAGCGACAGCGGGUGGGAUUCCCCCAGGCCAGGAAGGACCCCAGACCGGCAGUGACAAAAGCAGGAGCAUGGUUUGGCCCGUGCAGACACGAACGCGGCACGCGCAGAGGUCGCGCUAGGAAGGACCGCCGCCGGCCGCGAGGGCGAGCGAGAGGACGGGCGUUUCCCUCCCCUUGCCUUGCUGCUCCGAGAACGGUCUCGCACCAGCGGGAGCCCAUUAGAUGCAAAGAAACCCAGCGGCGGCUUGGGACCCGGCUCCAGGAGCCUUUCUGGGGCACCGGGCUGGGGAUAUAUUCAACCCCUCCCUCCAAUCCUCCGCUAAUCCCACCGUCCCCAAGGCCGCGGUGGGGGGGAGGCCGGCGCGCCGGUCUCCUCAAACGGCGGAGAUGGCGACCUAUAUGGAUGUUUCUAAUGCAACGUUUCUUUUUAUUUCCCCCUUUCUUUUGAGCGCUCACAUCAUCAUCAAUAAAUACGCACCGG
This 1449-nucleotide long non-coding RNA is filed under the name Struthio camelus australis. RNAcentral describes it as "lncRNA (ENSSCUG00000002676.1)". Lineage: Eukaryota; Metazoa; Chordata; Aves; Struthioniformes; Struthionidae. The record is from RNAcentral.